Molecule: RNA transcript, 3341 nt
Organism: Malus domestica (apple)
Lineage: Eukaryota; Viridiplantae; Streptophyta; Magnoliopsida; Rosales; Rosaceae
Source: RefSeq, a predicted model, not a curated record
AUUCCUCGACCUUAACCCGCAAGGUUCCAAAUCUAUCUCCACCUUUCUUUAAUUAGGGUUUUGUUUUGGUCUUCGUCUUCUCACUCUGUGUUUCUAGGGUUUUGUUCGAAUCGCAACUGCAAUCUAGGGGUUUCGUUGCAAUUAUUCUCUCUAUAAAUAGUACGCAUUGAUAAUUUUCAUCUUUCAGUUCGUGUCCUAAUAGAAUCUGAUUUCUUCUAUUCCGCAACUGUGAUCGUGAAGUUACGGUUUUCUGAAUCGUUCCCUGUUCAAUUCGUGAAAAGGGGUUUUUUGUUUGGGUUUGAUUUGGGGAAUUUGUGGAGUUUUGGGCAGUUCGACUGCGAAAACCAUGCCUCAGAGGACGGUGAAGAGAGGUGCAGCGGCGGGAGCGAAGAGGACGACCAGAGUCACAAGGGGGACGAACAAGGCCCAGAACCAGGUCCAGCAUGAGGCUCCUGACGAGUCGGCCAAGGCUGAAGUCGAGGAUGCGGUGCCGAUGAUGGAAACUAAAGAGGAUCUCAAUGUUGAAGAGAUUAAGGAGAAGCCAAUUGCGGCGUAUAAUCCGAUGGUUGUCGUGGAGAAAUCAGUUGUUGAUGAAAAAGCUUCCGUUGUUGAUCAGCCAGGGCCUUCAGAGAUGGAAGUCCAAGCGAAAGCAGAGCAGAAUGGAUUAAAAAAACAAGAUAAGGUUAGGGAGUCUAUAGAUGAUUAUGAAAAAGAUGAAUGAUUAGAGCUAGAGGAUAAUGAAGCUGAGUAUGAACCUGAAGAAGAUGGUGGGGUUGAUUAUGAUGAGAAGGAAAUGGAACAAGGGGAUGUCCCGGAGGUUGGGGAUGAAGGAGAUGAAGAACCUGAGGAGAUUGUAGGUGAAGAAGAAGGUGACAUGGCUGAGGAGGAGUUGGAAGAUGUUCACGAAGAACUCGAGGGUGAAGAGGGUGAGGGGCAUGAGCAUGCAGAGAUGGUUGAUGAGGAAGAGGAGCACCAUGAACUUGUAAAGGAGAGACGGAAGUGCAAGGAGUUUGAAGUAUUUGUUGUUGGUCUGGACAAGGAUGCAAGUGAGGCUGAUCUUAGGAAAGCUUUUGCUGGUGUUGGUGAAGUUACUGAGGUCAGGGUGAUGAUGAACCCUCAGACUAAGAAGAACAAGGGAUUUGCAUUCUUGCGUUUUGCAACUGUGGAACAAGCAAGAUGAGCAGUUACAGAGCUUAAACAUCCAGUGAUUAAUGGAAAACAGUGUGGUGUUACUCCCAAGUCAAGACAGUGAUACUCUUUUUCUGGGUAACAUAUGCAGACAUGGACAAAGAAUGCUUUGAGAGAGAAGUUGAAACAUUAUGGAGUAGAUAGUGUUGAGGAUUUGACAGUGGUUGAAGAUACUAACAAUGAGGGAAUGAAUCGGGGCUUUGCUUUUUUGGAAUUUUCACCUUGUUCAGAUGCCAUGGAUGCUUUUAAGCGACUUCAGAAAAUAGAUAUUGUGUUUGGAGUUGAUAGGCCUGCAAAAGUUUCUUUUGCAGAUUCCUUCAUUGAUCCUGGUGAUGAAAUCAUGGCACAGGUGAAAACUGUGUUUGUGGAUGGCCUACAUGCUUCAUGGGAUGAGGAUCAUGUUCGAGAUUUUGUUAAGGAAUAUGGGAAUGUUGAAAAGAUUGAGCUUGCGCGUAACAUGCCCUCUGCUAAGAGGAAAGAUUUUGGUUUUGUUACAUUUGACACUGAUGAGGCUGCAGUUACAUGUGCUAAAAGCAUUAACAAUGCAGAGCUAGGUGAAGGAGAUAGCAAGGCGAAAGUCAGGGCGAGGUUAUCAAGACCACUUCAGAGGGGUAAAGGAAGACAUGUUGGACGCGAAGAUUAUCGAUCUUCAAGGGGGGUUGGACGAGUUGUUAGGGGUUCAUGGGGUCACCCAGCAUCGCGCGGGUUAAGGGGAGUUGGAAGUCGAAUUCCACCAGCCAGUGUAAAGAGGCCUGUUGAGCUAAGAGAUAGACGCCCUAUGAUGUCGUCUUAUCCACCAAGAGGCAGGCCUUUGCCUCCUCCAGCUAGGUCCUAUGACAGGAGACCACCUGUUCCAGCUUACCCAAAGAGUAGCUUCAAGAGGGAAUAUAGUAGGCGCGAGGACCUUCCUCCUCCAAGGAGUAGAGCAGCCUCUGAUUAUGGAUCAAGGGCUGUUCAAGAAAGACACCAAUCGUACCUAGAUGACUACACUCCGCGUGGUCCUGCCUACUCUGAUCCACCGAGAAGUAUCUCUCAUACAGCAGGAAGGAGAGCUUAUGUUGAUGAAGGUUACGGACAGCGAUAUGAAAGGCAUCCUCCCCCUCCUCCUCCAAGUUACCGUGAAGGGCGUGCACGUGAAUAUGACUAUUUCUGGUUCAAAACGUCCCUACGCUGCACUGGAUGAUGUUCCUCCCCAUUAUGCUGAUGCGGCCAUCCACCAAUCCAGGGCACGGUUAGACUAUGAGUACGGAAGCGGUUCAUCUCAAUAUGGGGAUGGCUAUAGUGACAGACUUGGCAGAUCUAGUAUGGGAUAUGGAAGCAGCAGAACAAGUCAGGAUUCUCAUGGACCAUACAGCAACAGCAGUCGUCAGGGCAUAGACUAUGGAGGAGGUUCUUAUGGUGGCAAUGGUGGUGGUGGAAUGUACUCUUCAAGCUAUGGCAGUGAUGUUGGAGGUAGCUCUUACUCAUCAAUGUACUCUGGCCGUUGUGUGGGUGGAAGCAGUUAUAUGGGUUCAGGCGUUUCUGGCUCAUACUACUGAGCGAUGCACAUGAGUCAUUAUUACUAUUUUCCCGCUGGAGAUAUAUUUUCUUCCGAAGGCACAUCAUCUCUUCUUUUGCUCUAAGAGUUCAUUGGUGAAAACAGAGCAAUAUAUGGUUACAAGUGAAUUUGUCUAAGGAACAGAUCUGACAUGACGAAGAGGAUGCUGUAGAAUGUGGACUGUGUGAAGCUUUUCCAUUUCGUUGCUUAGAGUUAUGGACAGAGAGAGUUUCCCUAAGAACCUUAUGUGUGUGAGAGGAUCCUUCAUUGCAUACAAUAAGGUUGUAGUGGUUCAAGCCUUCUUAGAUUACCAGAGAUCGGUUAAAUGUGCCAGGCUGUAGUUAUUUUGCUGCAAGGAAAUUCAAGUUAUUCAAAGAUGAGACAUUCAAUUGCUUAGUUUAUGACGUGCCUUCUACUUAUCUUGUAGAAGAACUCCACCUGACUGAAAAUUUGGAGUCCUGGUGCAUCCUUCCUUUGUUCUAUUGAAUAGAUAAGAUUAUAACGAGAGAAUGAGGAUUUUCUUAAUGUGAUUAUAAGGUAUUUUGGAUAUUUUUUAUGCUGAGUCAUUUGGAAAGGUUUGAAUAAUAAAAGCAUUUUGGCCAUUUAGAUCACUUAA